AUUACCCUGCUGUGUUCGUGAUGUUGCGACACCGGUUUUGAGCCAACACUAAAAAAAGGGAUCCUCUACUCAACAGGGUAACGCGUUAGGCUUCGGCCAAGGCGGGUCUCUGUGGCAGGAUCCACCUGCUUCGGCAGGUUCAAAACUACGCAGCACACGGCAUGGUGGGGUCUUU
This 175-nucleotide non-coding RNA is filed under the name Anaerolineaceae bacterium. Its description in RNAcentral is "6S RNA". It matches the Rfam family "6S / SsrS RNA". Rfam says of the family: E. coli 6S RNA was the first non coding RNA to be sequenced, but its function was unknown until recently. It consists of 184 nucleotides that fold into an extended hairpin structure with a large single-stranded internal bulge. The record is from RNAcentral. Lineage: Bacteria; Bacillati; Chloroflexota; Anaerolineae; Anaerolineales; Anaerolineaceae.